Molecule: ribosomal RNA, 489 nt
Filed under: uncultured bacterium
Lineage: Bacteria
Description: partial 16S ribosomal RNA
Rfam family: Bacterial small subunit ribosomal RNA
Source: RNAcentral
UUGCACGCUGGCGGCAGGCCUAACACCUGCAAGUCGCACGGUAACAGGAAGCAGCUUGCUGCUUCGCUGACGAGUGGCGGACGGGUGAGUAAUGUCUGGGAAGCUGCCUGAUGGAGGGGGAUAACUACUGGAAACGGUAGCUAAUACCGCAUAAUGUCGCAAGACCAAAGAGGGGGACCUUCGGGCCUCUUGCCAUCGGAUGUGCCCAGAUGGGAUUAGCUUGUUGGUGGGGUAACGGCUCACCAAGGCGACGAUCCCUAGCUGGUCUGAGAGGAUGACCAGCCACACUGGGACUGAGACACGGUCCAGACUCCUACGGGAGGCAGCAGUGGGGAAUAUUGCACAAUGGGCGCAAGCCUGAUGCAGCCAUGCCGCGUGUAUGAAGAAGGCCUUCGGGUUGUAAAGUACUUUCAGCGGGGAGGAAGGGAGUAAAGUUAAUACCUUUGCUCAUUGACGCUACCCGCAGAAGAAGCACCGGCUAACUCCGUG